This 1112-nucleotide ribosomal RNA is filed under the name Geobacillus stearothermophilus. RNAcentral's name for it is "bacterial LSU rRNA". It matches the Rfam family "Bacterial large subunit ribosomal RNA", at positions 1170 to 2285 of the family's 2925-position model. Lineage: Bacteria; Bacillati; Bacillota; Bacilli; Caryophanales; Anoxybacillaceae. The record is from RNAcentral.
AUGUACCGGGGCUAAACGUGCCGCCGAAGCUGCGGGAUGACCGUUGGUCAUCGGUAGGGGAGCGUUCUAAGGGCGUUGAAGCCAGACCGGAAGGACUGGUGGAGCGCUUAGAAGUGAGAAUGCCGGUAUGAGUAGCGAAAACAGAGGUGAGAAUCCUCUGCGCCGAAAGCCUAAGGGUUCCUGAGGAAGGUUCGUCCGCUCAGGGUUAGUCGGGACCUAAGCCGAGGCCGAAAGGCGUAGGUGAUGGACAACAGGUUGAGAUUCCUGUACCACCUCCUUCCCGUUUGAGCGAUGGGGGGACGCAGGAGGAUAGGGCGAGCAGGCGGCUGGAAGAGCCUGUCCAAGCCGCAAGGCUGAUCCGUAGGCAAAUCCGCGGAUUGUAAGGCCAAGCGGUGAUGGCGACGGAGUCAUCCGGAAGUCCCCGAUUUCACACUGCCAAGAAAAGCCUCUAGCGAGGGAAGAGGUGCCCGUACCGCAAACCGACACAGGUAGGCGAGGAGAGAAUCCUAAGGCGCGCGGGAGAACUCUCGUUAAGGAACUCGGCAAAAUGACCCCGUAACUUCGGGAGAAGGGGUGCUCGUUUGGGUGAAGAGCCCGAACGAGCCGCAGUGAAAAGGCCCAAGCGACUGUUUAUCAAAAACACAGGUCUCUGCGAAGCCGAAAGGCGACGUAUAGGGGCUGACACCUGCCCGGUGCUGGAAGGUUAAGGGGAGCGCUUAGCGGAAGCGAAGGUGCGAACCGAAGCCCCAGUAAACGGCGGCCGUAACUAUAACGGUCCUAAGGUAGCGAAAUUCCUUGUCGGGUAAGUUCCGACCCGCACGAAAGGUGUAACGACUUGGGCGCUGUCUCAACGAGAGACCCGGUGAAAUUAUACUACCUGUGAAGAUGCAGGUUACCCGCGACAGGACGGAAAGACCCCGUGGAGCUUUACUGCAGCCUGAUAUGGAAUUUUGGUAUCGCUUGUACAGGAUAGGUGGGAGCCUGGGAAGCCGGAGCGCCAGCUUCGGUGGAGGCGGCGGUGGGAUACCACCCUGGCGAUAUUGAAAUUCUAACCCGCACCCCUUAGCGGGGUGGGAGACAGUGUCAGGCGGGCAGUUUGACUGGGGCGGUCG